UACAGAGGCCUCAAGCGUUGUUCGGAGUUACUGGGCGUAAAGGGUGCGUAGACCGUGGGGUAAGUUUGCCGUGAAAUCUUCAGGCUCAACCUGAAAACUGCGGCAAAAACUGCUCUGCUAGAAGUAUGGAAGGGGAACUGGAAUUUUCGGUGUAGCAGUGAAAUGCGUAGAUAUCGAAAAGAACACCAGCGGCGAAAGCGAGUUCCUGGACAUUACCUGACGUUGAGGCACGAAAGCUAGGGGAGCAAACGGG
Molecule: ribosomal RNA, 253 nt
Filed under: uncultured prokaryote
Description: partial 16S ribosomal RNA
Rfam family: Bacterial small subunit ribosomal RNA
Source: RNAcentral